RNAcentral lists this ribosomal RNA (253 nucleotides) under uncultured bacterium. Its description in RNAcentral is "partial 16S ribosomal RNA". It matches the Rfam family "Bacterial small subunit ribosomal RNA", at positions 524 to 776 of the family's 1533-position model. The record is from RNAcentral.
UACGUAGGGUGCAAGCGUUGUCCGGAAUUAUUGGGCGUAAAGAGCUUGUAGGCGGUUUGUCGCGUCUGCUGUGAAAUUUCGGGGCUCAACCCCGAACUUGCAGUGGGUACGGGCAGACUAGAGUGUGGUAGGGGAGACUGGAAUUCCUGGUGUAGUGGUGAUAUGCGUAGAUAUCGGGAGGAACACCUGUGGCGAAGGCGGCUUUCUGGGCCUUACCUGACGCUGAGGCGCGAAAGCUAGGGGAGCAAACAGG